GUCAAAUAGAGCUGUUUUUUUUAAUAAACGCUUCAAUUUUGCAAGAAUUAGUAGCUUUUGUUAGAACAAACGUCGCUAAUUAAUCAUCAAAAUUUUGAAAUUGACCCAGCCCCUUUCAUUUCUGCCGAAAGCUAUUCCUCAUCUGCUCACGACAAUGGGUGUCAUUCUGACACAGAUGAAAGAUUCCUCAUCUGCUCAUGACCCUCUUUUCCCAUGGCUCCUAUAUUCUUUUCUCUUUUGUUUUUUAAAAAUUUAGGUUUCUCUGAAUUGUUUGCUAUGAAUUCAUUUUUUUCCUAACUAAUUGCAAAUCCAUGUUGAAAGAAAGAGUUUUUGGGUAAUGAGUUGGUAUUUGGAGACAUAGUUUAGAAUAAGAAGAAAGAGAAAGGUAAAGUUAGUUGGGUUUGUGAGAAUUGUGGGUAUUGAGAUGGUUUGUGGUCAUUUUAGGACGAUGAAGAGGUUUUCAGAAGUGGAAACUAAGAACACAGGGUUGGAAUUUUCAAAAAUUAUGGUGCGGUCUUGGCUACCAAAGGAUGCAGGGGAUGUGGAACCAGUUAGAUUGGUUGAUGUUGAGUGUGGGAUUAAGAAGAUGGAUUACCAAAUUCCAGUUUGGACCCUUUGGAAAUUAAGUUGCUAGGGUGCUUGGUGGUGGUCUUGUUUCAGGUUCAUUGGUUUUUUUAGUGGUGAUCCUGGUGUUGGAAAGAGUACUAUACUUUUAUAGAGUGUUGAACAAAUUAGCACAGAGCUGACUGUAUGAAGAUUGGAGCCACUAAUCUUUACCUAUACUCUAUACUGAUAUUGAGGAAGUUGCUAUCAAAAGAAUGACUGCAACAUAUUCAAAGGAAUUUAUGGAAAAGAUGAAAGUCUUGUGUAAGUUUCAUCAUGCAAAUCUGGUAAUGCUUUCUGUAUGAUAAGCUUGCUUUCUAUAUGAUUGGCUAUGUUGCAAGCGAUAAUAAGCUAUUUCUUAUUUAUGAACAUGCUCAAAAAAUCUCUCUUAGACGCCAUUUACAUGAUCCGCAGAACAAAGGUAAGAUUCUAGCAGUGCUUUCUUAAGUUUUUACAAUUUUUAUUUAAUUUUAAGAAUGAAUUUCUUGAGUUUUUAUAUCAUUGUUUUUAAAAAAUUAAUUGAUAGCAUUACAUAGAUUAAAAAAACUUUUAAAAUUCUUGGAGGGCCAUGGCCCCUUCAUUCCCUUAUACGGCAUCACCACUAAAUGUAUAAUCCACCUUUUUGGAUGUUAUCUUUUGCACGUCAUAAUCUGUUUGAUAGAUUGAAUUUUGUCAUUUGGUAUAAAAUCCUCAUGUUUGGACAAUUUUAGGCAUUAUUGCUGAUUUUUUAUCUUGAUGUUUCUUAAAGUUAUUUGCAUAAGCUCAUGGUAGCUAAUAAGGUAAUCAGGAUGUUUCGAAGUGCCUUACACUUGUUGCUGUCUGGAAUUGCUGUUGAUAAAAAAUGAACUAUCUACUUUUUUGUUCUUUGACCUUUUCCCUUCAUAUUUCACUGUUUUUAUACCUCUAUGCAAUUACUUUGUCUUUUUUUUUUCUUUUUAUUUGGAUGAUGGCACAUUUAUUUAAGAUAAAGCUAGAUAACCUAGUCCACUGUGUGCAAUUUAUGUUACAGAUGUGUCAUAAACAUAGAGUCAUGCGUUGUAAUCUCAAACCAGAGAAUUUUCUAUCUGCUAAUAAAAAGGAAACUUCCCCAUUGAAGGUAAUUGAUUUUGGGUUGUUUGUCUUCUUUAAACUUGGUAUUGCAUAUUAACUAUUGACUAUUUGAGCUAUAUAAGUGUAUUUCCCCUUUUCUAUCUUUGGAAGUUAAAUUUAGACUGUUUUGAUUAUCUUUUUUUCUAUAUUAUGCUCAAAUAGCUGAAGUUUGCUUUAAGAGUGCUUUUUUUAAAUAGGUUCUUAUGAAUCAGAGGUUGAUGUUCGGAGUGAUGCAGUUAUCCUCUAUAUUUUACUUUGUGGUGUCCUACCAUUAUGGGCAAGUUGGUCUUUCACUUAACGAAGUAUUUGCUUUUGUUCAUUUGACUUUAUGGAGGUUAGAGCUCAAGACAGCUAUAGAGGCAGUGUGUGCUUUUAGAGCCUGUGGGCAAAAGAUAAGAGAGAUAUCAUGAUAAGGUUUUCUUUUCAAACUCUUCAAUAUUAUGUGAUCAAGAGUUUGAUGUAUUCUUUUGCUUACAUUUUCCCUAUCUACUCUUAUGUUUUUAGAAAAAUAGAUAUAAAUAAUAUUUGUUGUGUUUUCAU
Molecule: non-coding RNA, 2232 nt
Organism: Durio zibethinus
Lineage: Eukaryota; Viridiplantae; Streptophyta; Magnoliopsida; Malvales; Malvaceae
Source: RefSeq, a predicted model, not a curated record